Molecule: non-coding RNA, 232 nt
Organism: Pelobates cultripes (western spadefoot toad)
Lineage: Eukaryota; Metazoa; Chordata; Amphibia; Anura; Pelobatidae
Source: the annotation of a GenBank genome assembly
UGGGAAUAAGAUAGUGGGUGAAACCACAUAACAUAAAGAGUAUCUCCUGCUAGUUAGACAUAGAUUGGAAGGUGGGUGACCAUGUACUGUGCAUCAUCCAGUCGAUGAGACAAAUCAUCCUAUGCCCUCCAGGGCCUGAACAAGGUCCCACUGCAGAGAGGAUCACCGCAAGACUCCAGACUCGGUAGGCAGAUUGAUGCAUGUGAGCAUCAGGAUCAGGAUUCUCCAGGGC